GACGAACGCUGGCGGCGUGCUUAACACAUGCAAGUCGAACGGUAAGGCCCCGCUUUUGUGGGGUGCUCGAGUGGCGAACGGGUGAGUAACACGUGAGUAACCUGCCCUUGACUUUGGGAUAACUUCAGGAAACUGGGGCUAAUACCGGAUAGGAGCUCCUGGUGCUUGGUGGGGGUUGGAAAGUUUCGGCGGUUGGGGAUGGACUCGCGGCUUAUGAGCUGGUUGGUGGGGUAGUGGCUUACCAAGGCUUUGACGGGUAGCCGGCCUGAGAGGGUGACCGGCCACAUUGGGACUGAGAUACGGCCCAGACUCCUACGGGAGGCAGCAGUGGGGAAUAUUGCACAAUGGGCGGAAGCCUGAUGCAGCAACGCCGCUUGCGGGAUGACGGCCUUCGGGUUGUAAACCGCUUUCGCCUGUGACGAAGCGUGAGUGACGGUAGUGGGUAAAGAAGCACCGGCUAACUACGUG
RNAcentral lists this ribosomal RNA (468 nucleotides) under uncultured bacterium. RNAcentral's name for it is "partial 16S ribosomal RNA". It matches the Rfam family "Bacterial small subunit ribosomal RNA", at positions 28 to 507 of the family's 1533-position model. The record is from RNAcentral.